This 106-nucleotide microRNA precursor is filed under the name Canis lupus familiaris (dog). RNAcentral's name for it is "mir-8834 microRNA precursor family". It matches the Rfam family "mir-8834 microRNA precursor family". The record is from Rfam by way of RNAcentral. Lineage: Eukaryota; Metazoa; Chordata; Mammalia; Carnivora; Canidae.
AGGAGGAACAACCCCAGUGGCAGCGGCCACGUCUGGAGCCCUGGAUUCAGCCCCCACAGUAACUACGGAGCUCUCCGUCUGCAGGGCCUGGGGGCUCCAGGGGCGG